RNAcentral lists this non-coding RNA (88 nucleotides) under Ezakiella massiliensis. RNAcentral's name for it is "THF riboswitch". It matches the Rfam family "THF (Tetrahydrofolate) riboswitch aptamer". From Rfam's summary of the family: THF riboswitch presents a pseudoknot that joins P1-P2 and the loop of P3 and two THF binding. The record is from RNAcentral. Lineage: Bacteria; Bacillati; Bacillota; Tissierellia.
CAGAGUAGGUGUAAAGCGUAAAGUGUUUAGAGAUGGGACGUAGCUCUAAAACGAAGGAUAGUCCGCGGCUUAUACAUCGCGUUCGCUA